AACGUAGGUACCGAGCGUUAUUCGGAAUUACUGGGCGUAAAGCGCACGUAGGCGGAUCAAAAAGUCAGAGGUGAAAUCCCAGGGCUCAACCUUGGAACUGCCUUUGAAACUUUUGGUCUUGAGGUCGUGAGAGGUGAGUGGAAUUCCGAGUGUAGAGGUGAAAUUCGUAGAUAUUCGGAGGAACACCAGUGGCGAAGGCGGCUCACUGGCACGAUACUGACGCUGAGGUGCGAAAGCGUGGGGAGCAAACAGG
Molecule: ribosomal RNA, 253 nt
Filed under: uncultured bacterium
Lineage: Bacteria
Description: partial 16S ribosomal RNA
Rfam family: Bacterial small subunit ribosomal RNA
Source: RNAcentral